This 396-nucleotide ribosomal RNA is filed under the name uncultured bacterium. Its description in RNAcentral is "partial 16S ribosomal RNA". It matches the Rfam family "Bacterial small subunit ribosomal RNA", at positions 523 to 918 of the family's 1533-position model. The record is from RNAcentral.
AUACGUAGGGGGCAAGCGUUAUCCGGAUUUACUGGGUGUAAAGGGAGCGUAGACGGUUUGGCAAGUCUGAAGUGAAAGCUCGGGGCUCAACCCCGGAACUGCUUUGGAAACUGUCGAACUGGAGUGCAGGAGAGGUAAGCGGAAUUCCUAGUGUAGCGGUGAAAUGCGUAGAUAUUAGGAGGAACACCAGAGGCGAAGGCGGCUUACUGGACUGUAACUGACGUUGAGGCUCGAAGGCGUGGGGAGCAAACAGGAUUAGAUACCCUGGUAGUCCACGCGGUAAACGAUGAUCACUAGGUGUCCGUGGGUAUGCCCCAUGGGUGCCGCAGCCAACGCAAUAAGUGAUCCACCUGGGGAGUACGUUCGCAAGAAUGAAACUCAAAUGAAUUGGCGGGG